Molecule: ribosomal RNA, 253 nt
Filed under: uncultured bacterium
Lineage: Bacteria
Description: partial 16S ribosomal RNA
Rfam family: Bacterial small subunit ribosomal RNA
Source: RNAcentral
UACGAAGGGGGCUAGCGUUGUUCGGAUUUACUGGGCGUAAAGCGCACGUAGGCGGAUCGAUCAGUCAGGGGUGAAAUCCCAGAGCUCAACUCUGGAACUGCCUUUGAUACUGUCGAUCUGGAGUAUGGAAGAGGUGAGUGGAAUUCCGAGUGUAGAGGUGAAAUUCGUAGAUAUUCGGAGGAACACCAGUGGCGAAGGCGGCUCACUGGUCCAUUACUGACGCUGAGGUGCGAAAGCGUGGGGAGCGAACGGG